AUGCAGGCACUAGCACGAGCGGCGGGGGGGCUCUGGCCGGCGGCGGCCGCGGCCGCGGGGAGGGGGAACUGCGGGCAGGUGCAGCCGUCCCGGGGGAUCGUGGUGCAGGUGAGGGACGGCAACCUUGAGCGCGCGCUCCAGGUGAUGGAGCGCAAGAUGCGGUCCAGCGGCAUCGAGCGGCUCAUCAAGCGCCGGACGGAGCACCACGUCAAGAACUCCGAGAAGCGCGUGCUCGCGCGCAAAGCGCUCAUGGCGCGCGUACGCUCCCAGGAGCUCGGCAAGAGUCUCCGCGAUAUCCUCAUCAAGAAGAUCAGGGGUCAGUAA
Molecule: ribosomal RNA, 324 nt
Filed under: Triticum aestivum (bread wheat)
Lineage: Eukaryota; Viridiplantae; Streptophyta; Magnoliopsida; Poales; Poaceae
Description: partial small subunit ribosomal RNA
Source: RNAcentral